RNAcentral lists this ribosomal RNA (492 nucleotides) under uncultured bacterium. RNAcentral describes it as "partial 16S ribosomal RNA". It matches the Rfam family "Bacterial small subunit ribosomal RNA", at positions 29 to 507 of the family's 1533-position model. The record is from RNAcentral.
AGUGAACGCUGGCGGUAUGCCUAACACAUGCAAGUCGAGCGGAAGCACAGUAAGUGCUCGCUUUUACUGUUGGCGACUGGCGGACGGGUCAGGAAUAUAUCGCAAUCUUUUUUUUCUUGGGGGAUAACGUAGGGACACUUAUGCUAAUAGCGCAUAUGUCGUACGGGUGGGAUCAGCGGAUCUUCGGACCUUGCCUGACUGUAUUAGCUGAUGCCGGAUUAGCUAGUUGGCGUGGUAAAGGCCCACCUAGGCGACGAUCCGUAGCUGAUCUGAGAGGAUGAUCGGCCACACUGGAACUGAGACACGGUCCAGACUCCUACGGGAGGCAGCAGUAGGGAAUAUUCGACAAUGGGCGAAAGCCUGAUCCAGCAACGCCGCGUGAGUGAAGAAGGACUUCGGAUUGUAAAGCACUUUUAUUGGGGAAGAAAAGCUGCAGGAUAAUACCCAGCUGUUCUGACGGUACCAAAUGAGAAAGCACCGGCUAACUUCGUG